Molecule: transfer RNA, 69 nt
Filed under: Bos taurus (domestic cattle)
Lineage: Eukaryota; Metazoa; Chordata; Mammalia; Artiodactyla; Bovidae
Also listed under: 4 other names
Rfam family: tRNA
About the family: Transfer RNA (tRNA) molecules are approximately 80 nucleotides in length.
Source: Rfam by way of RNAcentral
CCUGGUGGCUCAGAUGGUAAAGAAUCUGCCUGCAGUGCAGAAGACCCAGGUUCAAUCCCUGGGUCAGGA